CAGUAGCCGCGGUAAUACAGAGGAUGCAAGCGUUAAUCGGAAUUACUGGGCGUAAAGCGCGCGUAGGUGGUUUGUUAAGUUGGAUGUGAAAUCCCCGGGCUCAGCCUGGGAACUGCAUUCAAAACUGACUGACUAGAGUAUGGUAGAGGGUGGUGGAAUUUCCUGUGUAGCGGUGAAAUGCGUAGAUAUAGGAAGGAACACCAGUGGCGAAGGCGACCACCUGGACUAAUACUGACACUGAGGUGCGAAAGCGUGGGGAGCAAACAGGAUUAGAUACCCCAGUAGUCCCUGUCUCUUAUAC
Molecule: ribosomal RNA, 301 nt
Filed under: uncultured bacterium
Lineage: Bacteria
Description: partial 16S ribosomal RNA
Rfam family: Bacterial small subunit ribosomal RNA
Source: RNAcentral